This is a long non-coding RNA of Neopsephotus bourkii (Bourke's parrot), 868 nucleotides long. RefSeq lists it as uncharacterized. The transcript is spliced from 2 exons. Lineage: Eukaryota; Metazoa; Chordata; Aves; Psittaciformes; Psittacidae. The record is from RefSeq and is a predicted model, not a curated record.
AGGGCUGAGGGGCACCCGCCACCCCGCGGGCCCGCCGCCCGCCGCCGCUUCCCUCCCGCUCCGCCGGCCCGGCGGCUCCUCCUCUCAGCGCGAAACGGCACGGUGACAUUCCUCAUCGGUCCUGCCUCCCUGGAGCUCAGACUUCGCAUUAGACUGCACCAAAAUGUUCCCUUGCAGGGAAGGAUUUUGCAUCCUGGGAGCAGCUAUGUGAUGCAUACAGCUUACGCAGUGCUCUGUUCAAGCUCACGGGCAAUGACAAGUUAGUGUAAGAAACCAUGGCUGGGAAGAGAGAAACCGAAACAGGGGUGGUUACAGGGCCUGCUUCUGCCUUCAGAGAAGGGAGAAAAAAGCCAACAGCACUCUGAAGGGUUAUAACUGGAACAGAAAAAGGGCUUUGGUUUUAGCGUUUGGGAUUCAGCCUUGCAUUAUAAUGGUUACCAGCAGCUUAAUUUUCUUUUUUAUGGUCAUCCUGGUUUCCUGGCUGCAUGGCACUUCCACCGGGCCACUGCUCUUAAUAAUUUAACCUUUUAUGAGAUUGCUUUGAUUUGCAGUGUAGAUUGGAGCAAGAGUGAACAAGUAUGAUGUCACCCAUCGGCUACUAAACUCCUUUGUGCUACAGCAAAGGUCUCAGUUGCUUAAAACAUCAAGAGAAAGGUUUUUGGAGGGUUUUUUUUCCCAGCCAGCUAGCCAUUUUCUGAUUUUAGUUUUACUUAAGUGCAAAAUACCAUUCAGAUACUGUAACUGCCCGUGCUGAGCUGUGCAAAGGCUGUGCUGAGUCUGGGAUUCAAUGGUUGGCUUGUUUGCUUGCUGGAGUCCUAAGUCAUAGAAACAAGGUUGAAAAUAGAAUUAAAACCACAACUCAACAUGU